GAUCCUUUUCUGGAGAUCCUUCUUCUGUGGGGUCUUUCCUGUGAACCUAGAUCUUUGGAUACAGGCAAGACGUGACAGGAGGUCACUCUGAAAAAUUUCAACUGGAGAUGACCUCAAGUCAGUCACUAACCGUGGGGUCUGGAGCUUUUUGGAUAAGUUUGGCAUCAUUGUCUUAGCUGUGGGAUCCAGAACCCUGUCUGUGUGAUCUAAACUUCUGGCUAAAGACUAAAAACUUCGUGUGGACUCAAAUUCUGUUAUAUUUUAAAAUAAGAGUGAUCCAUAUUAAAGAAGCCAGUAAAGCCUUUCUAUAGUUUUGUCAACAGCAUGUUUCAUUUUUUUCAAAAGCUUUCUGACUCCAGUGGCAUCAAUCAUCAAAGCAACUCAAACUGUUUAGACUGCUUCUGGACCUUGCCUUGAACUAUCCAUCAGGGGGGCUUUGGGAAUAGAAGAACAGCAAUUUUUAAGAGAAGAUGGAACAGUAAGGAAAAAGCUAAGCCAUGUCCUUUGUUUGAUUUCUCUUGUGAAAUGAAACAAAAGAAAAAGAUACUGAGCUGUCUGGACUAGUAGAAUGAGCAGUUCAAAACACUACAUUUUCAAUUUGUUUCACUGGAAAGAAGUUCUUUGCUGCUACCAUUUCUUCUGUUGUAUAAAAUACCUGUUUGCUCUUUAAAAUGUACUAAAAAUAUAUAAGAAAAUGCGCACUCUAUGAACUGAGUUACUUCUGCCUCCUCACUUGCUCCUGUCAGCUCUCCUACUUAUGUUUAUUUGUCUUCAGAUUUUCCUAAUGUCCUGAUUUUGCUGCUGCUGCCAGCACUUUGAGAGAUAGACACAUCACAGAAGUGAGAAAAGGAAGAAUCCAAUAAAAUUGGAGUUAAAUUCA
Lagopus muta (rock ptarmigan) is the source of this 880-nucleotide long non-coding RNA. RefSeq lists it as uncharacterized. The transcript has 3 exons. The record is from RefSeq and is a predicted model, not a curated record. NCBI's taxonomy places the organism in Eukaryota, Metazoa, Chordata, Aves, Galliformes, Phasianidae.